RNAcentral lists this ribosomal RNA (468 nucleotides) under uncultured bacterium. RNAcentral's name for it is "partial 16S ribosomal RNA". It matches the Rfam family "Bacterial small subunit ribosomal RNA", at positions 28 to 507 of the family's 1533-position model. The record is from RNAcentral.
GACGAACGCUGGCGGCGUGCUUAACACAUGCAAGUCGAACGGAAAGGCCCUGCUUUUGUGUGGUGCUCGAGUGGCGAACGGGUGAGUAACACGUGAGUAACCUGGCCUUGACUUUGGGAUAACUUCAGGAAACUGGGGCUAAUACCUGAUAGGAGCUCCUGCUGCAUGGUGGGGGUUGGAAAGUUUCGGCGGUUGGGGGUGGACGCGCGGCUUAUCAGCUUGUUGGUGGGGUAGUGGCUUACCAAGGCUUUGACGGGUAGCCGGCAUGGGAGGGUGACCGGCCACAUUGGGACUGAGAUACGGCCCAGACUCCUACGGGAGGCAGCAGUGGGGAAUAUUGCACAAUGGGCGGAAGCCUGAUGCAGCAACGCCGCGUGCGGGAUGACGGCCUUCGGGUUGUAAACCGCUUUCGCCUGUGACGAAGCGUGAGUGACGGUAAUGGGUAAAGAAGCACCGGCUAACUACGUG